This 496-nucleotide ribosomal RNA is filed under the name uncultured bacterium. Its description in RNAcentral is "bacterial SSU rRNA". It matches the Rfam family "Bacterial small subunit ribosomal RNA", at positions 29 to 507 of the family's 1533-position model. The record is from RNAcentral.
AACGAACGCUGGCGGCGCGCUUAACACAUGCAAGUCGAACGAGAAACCCUCUUCGGGGGGCGGUAAAGUGGCGAACGGGUGAGUAAUGCAUGGGUAAUUUACCCUGUAGUGGGGGAUAACCUUCCGAAAGGAGGGCUAAUACCGCAUACGAUCCUGGGGCAUCAGUCUCAGGAUGAAAGACAGCUCGCAAGGGCUGGCGCUAUUGGAUGAGCCCAUGUCCCAUCAGCUUGUUGGUAGGGUAACGGCCUACCAAGGCGAUGACGGGUAGCUGGUCUGAGAGGACGACCAGCCACACUGGCACUGCGACACGGGCCAGACUCCUACGGGAGGCAGCAGUGAGGAAUCUUGCGCAAUGGGCGAAAGCCUGACGCAGCGACGCCGCGUGGGGGAUGAAGGCCUUCGGGUUGUAAACCCCUUUUAGGAGGAAAGAAUUCCGGUAGGUGAAUAUCCUGCCUGGUUGACGGUACCUCCAGAAAAAGCCACGGCUAACUCUGUG